GCGGGUGUGGUGAAAUUGGUAUACACGCUGGUCUUAGGAACCAGUGGCUUACGCCGUGGAAGUUCGAGUCUUCUCACCCGCACCA
Molecule: transfer RNA, 85 nt
Filed under: Magnetococcales bacterium
Lineage: Bacteria; Pseudomonadati; Pseudomonadota; Magnetococcia; Magnetococcales
Description: tRNA-Leu
Rfam family: tRNA
About the family: Transfer RNA (tRNA) molecules are approximately 80 nucleotides in length. Their secondary structure includes four short double-helical elements and three loops (D, anti-codon, and T loops). Further hydrogen bonds mediate the characteristic L-shaped molecular structure. tRNAs have two regions of fundamental functional importance: the anti-codon, which is responsible for specific mRNA codon recognition, and the 3' end, to which the tRNAs corresponding amino acid is attached (by aminoacyl-tRNA synthetases). tRNAs cope with the degeneracy of the genetic code in two manners: having more than one tRNA (with a specific anti-codon) for a particular amino acid; and 'wobble' base-pairing, i.e. permitting non-standard base-pairing at the 3rd anti-codon position.
Source: RNAcentral